UGCCUCGGUGUGUCGAGAGAAAGGAACACCCGGUCCACCACAGGAAGCUGGGCUCAGCAUUGAGUGAUGACCUGCCUCUGCUGGCUACACCUGGGGCAGUACAAUACUGCCUGCAGCUCCUUCC
Ochotona curzoniae (black-lipped pika) is the source of this 124-nucleotide long non-coding RNA. RefSeq lists it as uncharacterized. NCBI's taxonomy places the organism in Eukaryota, Metazoa, Chordata, Mammalia, Lagomorpha, Ochotonidae. The record is from RefSeq and is a predicted model, not a curated record. The transcript is spliced from 3 exons.